Molecule: long non-coding RNA, 2421 nt
Filed under: Canis lupus familiaris (dog)
Lineage: Eukaryota; Metazoa; Chordata; Mammalia; Carnivora; Canidae
Description: lncRNA (ENSCAFG00845015111.1)
Source: RNAcentral
GAACUUAGGGAUUUUAGAAAUGACAAGAGGGUGGGUUCUUUAGUUUUUUCUUAUUGUCUCCCAUGCAUUCUAGACAGCAUGCUGCAGAAGCCUCCAACCCUGAACAGUCAGCAGCAUAGCAAAAACUCCAAGAAGAGCCUUUCCCUAGCCAAAGUGAAAGUAAAGAAUGGUCUAAGAAAAUUCUGUGUUGGUACUCACCCUGCUCCAGCCAGAUAUCAGAAGAACCCACCUCUGGUACACAGUUUCAGCAGGGCUGAGCUGGGAGUUGACUCUACCACCUUUCUUCCUUGGGAGUGCCACUGUCCAGCAGGAGUGGAGUACAGGACAUUUGCACUAAAAAUGUCCCUAAUAAUUAUAUGAAAAGAGGAAAGGUUUAAAAUCAGUAACCCAUACUCUUAACCUCAAUAAAUUAGGGGAAAAAAUACCCAAAGCAAGGAGAAGGAAGGAAAUUGAAACUAAGAAGGAAAAAAAAAUCAGUGAAAUAAAUUGUUCUUUGGAAAAUAAGAUUGAUAACUUGCAGCAAGACCAGUAGAGAUAAAAAGGGAGAAAACACAUCACAAACUACAAAUCCUGCAGCUAUUAAAAGAAUAAUAAAGAAAUGAUACAGCUUUACAUUAAUAAAUUAGACCACUUAGAGGGAAUGAAUCCAUUUUUAAAAACUAAAACUUACCAAAACUGAAUUAAGAUGAAAUAACCUGAAUUAGUGGUGUAGCCAUUAAAGAAAUUGAAUUCGUCGUUAAAAAGAUCCUGAGGAAUCUCAGGGCCAGAUGGUUUCACAGGAGGAAUCAAAAUUCCGUUUUUAUGUAGUCUCUUCCAGAAAAUAGAAGGGAAGACUCACAAACUCAAUUUUUGAGGCUAGAAUUACCCUAACAGCAAAAUCAGGUAAAGACAAUAUAUAUGAAAAGAAUUCUGCAGGCCAUUAUCUUUCAUGAACUUAGAGGCAAUAAUUUUUAACAAAAGGUUAGCAAAUUUAAUCUUUAUAUAUGUAUAAAUUAUAUAUAUAAACUUUAACAUGGCUUAGUAGGAUUUAUUUCAAGCAUCUGUGCCUGGUUCAACAUUUAAAAAUCAGUAUAUGAUUUACCAUAUCAGCAGGCUGAAGAAGAAAAAUUAUAUAUGACUUAUCAGUUGGCCCAGAAAAAAGCAUUCGACAAAAUCCAACAUUCAUUAUGAUUUAGAAACUCCAAAAACUAGGAAUAGAGAACUUCCUGAACUAGAUAGCAUCUGCCAAAACUCUCCAGCUAAGACUAUACUUAAUGGUGAGGGUGGAAUGCUUACCCUGGAAGGUUGUGAAGAAGACCAAGAUGUGUACUCCCACCAUUGCUAUUUAAAUAGUACUGGAAGUUGUAGCCACUGCAGUAAGCAAGAAAAAUAAUUAAACAAGCUGUCCCCUCUUUGCAGAUUACUUUAUUAUUUAUAUAGAAAAUCCUAAGGAAUGUUAGGAAGAAACUUGAACAGUGACCUUAACACAGUUGCAUACAAGAUAAAUACACAAAAAUCAAUCUGAUUUUUAUUUACUAACAAAGGACAUAUGAAAACUGAGAUUAACCAAUACAAUUCAUAAUUGUUCCAAAAAUAUGAAAUAUUUAGGUGUAAGGUUGCAUAGGAUUUUUGUACUGAAAAAUCACAAAACAGUGAAAUUAAAGAGCUAGAUAAGUGUUGACACAUACUGUGUUCAUAUAUUAGAAUAUUUAAUAUAGUAAAUAUGUCCCUAGGUUUACUUAGAUUUUGCAUAAUUUCUGUAAAAAUCAUAAGGUUUUUUUGUAGACAUGGCAAGAUUUUCAAAAUUCUGUAGGCAUACGCCCAGAAUAACAAUCUUGAAAAAAUAGCAAAGUGGUUAGAAUCAUUCUAAUAUUAAAGUUUUCUCUGCACUUAGAGUAAUCAAGAUGGUUGUGGUAUUGACAGGGGGUUAGACAAAUAGAUCAAUGGAAUGAACUAGAGAACCAAGAAAUUCACACACAGAAAUAUGUUCAAUUAAUUUUUGAUAAUGAUGGAAAAACGAUUCAAUGAAGGAAGGAUAGCCUUGUCAGCAGAUGAUGUUGGAGCAGUUUGACAUCCAUAGACAAAAUGGUGAAACUUGAUCUGAAUUUGUACCUUAAAUUAACUGAAAAUCAUAUUUAAGUGCAAAGUUAUGAAACUUACAGGGGAAAAAAAAUAGUCAUCAGGACCCAAGAUUAGACAGUGAGUUCUUAGUAUUGAGACUAAAAGCACAAUCCACAAAAGAAAAAUUGAUCAUUUGGAACCCAUUUAAAAACUUUUGCUUGGGACUUCUAGGUGGCUCAGCAGUUGAGCAUCUGCCUUCGGCUCAGGGUGUGAUCCUGGAUCCUGGGAUUGAGUCCCUCAUUGGGCUCCCUACAGGAAGCCUACUUCUCCCUCUGCCUGUGUCUCUGCCUCUCUCUCUCUCUCUGUUUCUCUCAUGAAUAA